AACGUGUUGAAACCCAUUGCAUUUGAUGUGAUGAUCUGUAUGUCAAAGCUAUUCGACUACUAUCUAUACGCUGUCUACAGCUUCUUUGCCAUUGACGCAAGCGAAUCUUCUGGGCGUUCUUUGGGCAGCCGCUUAAGGACGACGUUAAAACGGAUCGAGGAUAAUCUCAU
Long non-coding RNA from Lineus longissimus, 170 nucleotides. RefSeq lists it as uncharacterized. NCBI's taxonomy places the organism in Eukaryota, Metazoa, Nemertea, Pilidiophora, Heteronemertea, Lineidae. The transcript has 3 exons. The record is from RefSeq and is a predicted model, not a curated record.